Non-coding RNA from Acanthosepion pharaonis, 113 nucleotides. The record is from the annotation of a GenBank genome assembly. NCBI's taxonomy places the organism in Eukaryota, Metazoa, Mollusca, Cephalopoda, Sepiida, Sepiidae.
UUAUGGCCAUAUCACGUUGAAACAUUGGUUUCCAUACGAUCACUAAAGUUAAACAACGUUGAACCUGAUCAGUACCUAAAUGGUUGUCUGCUUGGGAAUACCAGAUGCUGUAA